ACACUGGUGGUGAAACGGUAUCAUGCUUGCCUUCCAUCUGUCAUCUGGGUAGCAAGCGGCAGGGGUUCGACUCCCUUUCAGUGUA
Molecule: non-coding RNA, 85 nt
Organism: Mycena belliarum
Lineage: Eukaryota; Fungi; Basidiomycota; Agaricomycetes; Agaricales; Mycenaceae
Source: the annotation of a GenBank genome assembly